AUGGCUCAGGAUGAACGCUGGCGGCGUGCCUAACACAGUGCAAGUCGAACGGGGUUAAGUGAAAUUUCGGAUGGACCUUAACUAGUGGCGGACGGGUGAGUAACGCGUGGAUAACCUGCCUCACACAGGGGGAUAGCAGCUGGAAACGGCUGGUAAUACCGCAUAAGACCACGGCCCCGCAUGGGGUUGUAGUAAAAGAUUUAUCGGUGUGAGAUGGAUCCGCGUCUGAUUAGCCAGUUGGCGGGGUAACGGCCCACCAAAGCGACGAUCAGUAGCCGGCCUGAGAGGGUGAACGGCCACAUUGGGACUGAGACACGGCCCAAACUCCUACGGGAGGCAGCAGUGGGGAAUAUUGCACAAUGGGCGCAAGCCUGAUGCAGCAACGCCCGCGUGAGUGAAGAAGUAUUUCGGUAUGUAAAGCUCUAUCAGCAGGGAAGAAAGGCUCUUCGGAGAGAUGACGGUACCUGACUAAGAAGCCCCGGCUAACUACGUGCCAGCCGCCGC
RNAcentral lists this ribosomal RNA (504 nucleotides) under uncultured bacterium. RNAcentral describes it as "bacterial SSU rRNA". It matches the Rfam family "Bacterial small subunit ribosomal RNA", at positions 19 to 518 of the family's 1533-position model. The record is from RNAcentral.